UAAUACGGAGGGGGCUAGCGUUGUUCGGAAUUACUGGGCGUAAAGCGCGCGUAGGCGGGCUGGUUAGUUGGGGGUGAAAUCCCGAGGCUCAACCUCGGAACUGCCCUCAAUACUGCCAGUCUUGAGUUCGAGAGAGGUGAGUGGAAUUCCUAGUGUAGAGGUGAAAUUCGUAGAUAUUAGGAAGAACACCAGUGGCGAAGGCGGCUCACUGGCUCGAUACUGACGCUGAGGCGCGAAAGCGUGGGGAGCAAACAGGAUUAGAUACCCUGGUAGUCCACGCCGUAAACGAUGGGUGCUAGUUGUCAGGCAGCUUGCUGUUUGGUGACGCAGCUAACGCGUUAAGCACCCCGCCUGGGGACUACGGUCGCAAGACUA
RNAcentral lists this ribosomal RNA (375 nucleotides) under uncultured bacterium. RNAcentral's name for it is "bacterial SSU rRNA". It matches the Rfam family "Bacterial small subunit ribosomal RNA", at positions 521 to 896 of the family's 1533-position model. The record is from RNAcentral.